This 109-nucleotide non-coding RNA is filed under the name uncultured Flexilinea sp. RNAcentral's name for it is "SAM riboswitch (S box leader)". It matches the Rfam family "SAM riboswitch aptamer (S box leader)". From Rfam's summary of the family: The SAM riboswitch is found upstream of a number of genes which code for proteins involved in methionine or cysteine biosynthesis in Gram-positive bacteria. The SAM riboswitch acts at the level of transcription termination control. Lineage: Bacteria; Bacillati; Chloroflexota; Anaerolineae; Anaerolineales; Anaerolineaceae. The record is from RNAcentral.
UCUUAUCCAGAGAGGUGGAGGGACCGGCCCCGUGAAGCCUCGGCAACCGAUCAUCAUCAGAUCAAGGUGCUAAUUCCGGCAGAUAAACAAUCAAAUCUGGAAGAUAAGA